UACGUAGGCAGCGAGCGUUGUUCGGAAUUACUGGGCGUAAAGAGUGUGUAGGCGGUGCCCCCAGUCUGUUGUGAAAUCUCCCGGCUUAACUGGGAGGGUGCAGCGGAAACUAGAGUGCUAGAGGGUGGGAGAGGUAAGCGGAAUUCCUGGUGUAGCGGUGAAAUGCGUAGAUAUCAGGAGGAACACCGGUGGCGAAGGCGGGUCUCUGGGCCGUUACUGACGCUGAGGAGCGAAAGCGUGGGGAGCGAACAGG
RNAcentral lists this ribosomal RNA (253 nucleotides) under uncultured bacterium. RNAcentral's name for it is "partial 16S ribosomal RNA". It matches the Rfam family "Bacterial small subunit ribosomal RNA", at positions 524 to 776 of the family's 1533-position model. The record is from RNAcentral.